AUAUUUUCUGUCAGAUUCAUCAACAUCGUUGUGAAAAUGUCUUAAAUGGACAAUUCUUCUAGAAGACAAUUAAAAUAAGACAGAAAAGAUGGGCAACCGCUGAAAAUUAAGUUAAGCUCCACAGGAGCUUGGUGAGAAGGCCCUGUGACCACAUUCCUCCCCCCAGCAGCCUGCAAGCUCCACGCAACCUUCAUCACUUUGGGGUGAGCUCUCUGCUGCUGGAUUCCCUGCCUGGGGCUGUCUCCUCCAGCUGGUGUCAGUUUCCCCCAGCCAAGGCCUGCUGUCAUUCCCCAGAGCACCUCCCACCCUGCCUCCUGCUACGGAGUAAUGUCUUCAAAGUACACAGUAACAUGGUUUCCAGCAGAACAUAGGCAAAGCAAAAGUUUACAGGAUUCAUCAUUAGGAGAGAGGGAAGCUGAAGAAGGAAAUUGUAAAAGGAAAACAUUAAACAUUCCCUGAGUGAAAGGUAGGGGAACCCCACUCACUUAGGGAACAGCUGCACCACCUCUCCAGACUCUGGCUCAGUCCAGAAAAAUUCCAUGAGUGAGGGGGGCAUGAAGGCAUGGCCCACAGUACUUUAACUGUGGUGGCUGUCCCUGGCUUGCCCACUCUCUUGCUGUCCAAUCACAUGCAGUUCAAUUCUCCCGAGAAAACUGCAGGCGCGAUGGUUCUCCACUGAUUGUCUUUGUUGCAGUCCUUGAACUCUCAAGGUUGCAGAAGUUGCUAGGGUUCUAACUGUCGAAGUGAAUCGUGCUCCUCAGUGUCGAGGGUCAGCGUGCACUGUUUCUUUCAUGGAACACGAUUAACAACUAAAACAAAGGAAAGAUCAGACCGGGUGUGCGGCUCAGGUGACAACGGUGUUCCUGUUCAGGCCAGUUUCCUGCUCUUCCUACCAAACUGGUCAAAGCAAUUAAAUGUGUGAACUGUGUUAUUUAUGAGUUUCCAGGGCUGUAAAAGUCAUGUCUGUGCUAAGAGACCAAAAAUACAUAUGCCUUGAACACCACAGCAAACACCCUCUUCUGUCAAACAAACAGAUAUUCUCUUCUCCAAAAUCAAAACCUCCACCAACUCAGAAAGUUAGCACAGGACGGAUUUCUCGCAGAGAGUGCCUCUCUAGGCAGGUGAGCCGUGCAUGGGGCCCAGCGACAGUUGCCGAUUGUGAUUUAUUAGUGGAGGAAAAUUUGGAAUUGGACUUUACCGUUGGGAUUUACUUGCAUUUGAAAGCAAUGCAGUUAGCAGUCCAUCUUUCAACACUGAAUGUAUUUUCUCUGCUUUUAUAUCUUUCUGAUGAAUUAAGCACUUAUGUGAGGUGAGGGAUUGAAAACACUAGCAGCCUAAUCUCUCAGUAGAUCUGCUUGCCAGAUAACAGCUGUAUGGAAAAACACGGGGACCAAUUUUACAUUGUUUCUCCACCAAUUCAUACCAGCCGUGAACUGUGAUGCUCCCCCCAAUUCUACAAUGGGCAGAUAAUGAGAGUUCCUUGCCCUCCAGUUCUCCAAGCCGUUUCGAAGAAGACCUGCUAAUUGAAUUCAGUUGUUUGCAGUUUUAAAUGUUCAUGCUUUCCACAAAACAAGAAUAUAUUAAACUCAUUUCAUCUGUCAUCCAAGAAGAAUUGGAGCCUGCAUUUUUAUUACCAACUGACUUGUGUGUUCAUCUUUAUCCCAGAUUUUUUUUGAAAUGUUUACAAUGUAAUUAAAAACAAUCAAGUCAAAUGAUGUAUUUGAAUUGUUCCCUUUGGGAGAAGAUAAAGGAGAAAAUAUAGCUACAAUUGCUUCAUUUUUGCUGAGUAUUUCUGCCUUCUCAACAGAAAUACAUCAUGUAUCUGCUCACCUAGAGCGUUUUGUAAUGUCACUGGUGAUUUAACAAUUACAAAAUAUUGUAAUUAAA
Molecule: long non-coding RNA, 1887 nt
Filed under: Homo sapiens (human)
Lineage: Eukaryota; Metazoa; Chordata; Mammalia; Primates; Hominidae
Description: non-protein coding lnc-LYZL2-11:2
Source: RNAcentral